This 253-nucleotide ribosomal RNA is filed under the name uncultured bacterium. RNAcentral describes it as "partial 16S ribosomal RNA". It matches the Rfam family "Bacterial small subunit ribosomal RNA", at positions 524 to 776 of the family's 1533-position model. The record is from RNAcentral.
UACGUAGGGGGCUAGCGUUGUCCGGAAUCAUUGGGCGUAAAGAGCGCGUAGGCGGCCCUGUAAGUCCGCUGUGAAAGUCAAGGGCUCAACCCUUGAAUGCCGGUGGAUACUGCAGGGCUAGAGUCCGGAAGAGGAGAAUGGAAUUCCCGGUGUAGCGGUGAAAUGCGCAGAUAUCGGGAAGAACACCCGUGGCGAAGGCGGUUCUCUGGGACGGUACUGACGCUGAGACGCGAAAGCGUGGGGAGCGAACAGG